This 497-nucleotide ribosomal RNA is filed under the name uncultured bacterium. RNAcentral's name for it is "partial 16S ribosomal RNA". It matches the Rfam family "Bacterial small subunit ribosomal RNA", at positions 28 to 507 of the family's 1533-position model. The record is from RNAcentral.
GACGAACGCUGGCGGCGUGCCUAAUACAUGCAAGUUGAGCGCUGAAGGUUGGUACUUGUACCAACUGGAUGAGCAGCGAACGGGUGAGUAACGCGUGGGGAAUCUGCCUUUGAGCGGGGGACAACAUUUGGAAACGAAUGCUAAUACCGCAUAAAAACUUUAAACACAAGUUUUAAGUUUGAAAGAUGCAAUUGCAUCACUCAAAGAUGAUCCCGCGUUGCAUUAGCUAGUUGGUGAGGUAAAGGCUCACCAAGGCGAUGAUACAUAGCCGACCUGAGAGGGUGAUCGGCCACAUUGGGACUGAGACACGGCCCAAACUCCUACGGGAGGCAGCAGUAGGGAAUCUUCGGAAAUGGACGAAAGUCUGACCGAGCAACGCCGCGUGAGUGAAGAAGGUUUUCGGAUCGUAAAACUCUGUUGGUAGAGAAGAACGUUGGUGAGAGUGGAAAGCUCAUCAAGUGACGGUAACUACCCAGAAAGGGACGGCUAACUACGUG